Molecule: ribosomal RNA, 1258 nt
Filed under: metagenome
Description: bacterial LSU rRNA
Rfam family: Bacterial large subunit ribosomal RNA
Source: RNAcentral
UCUACGGAGUCCGAAGUGGUCGAUGCCACGCUUCCAGGAAAAGCCUCUAAGCUUCAGUUACAAACAAACCGUACCGUAAACCGACACAGGUGGGUGGGUAGAGAAUACCAAGGCGCUUGAGAGAACUCGGGUGAAGGAACUAGGCAAAAUGGCACCGUAACUUCGGGAGAAGGUGCGCCGGUGAGGGUGAAGCAUUUACUGCGUAAGCCCAUGCCGGUCGAAGAUACCAGUCCCCUGCAACUGUUUAUUAAAAACACAGCACUCUGCAAACACGAAAGUGGACGUAUAGGGUGUGACGCCUGCCCGGUGCCGGAAGGUUAAUUGAUGGGGUUAGCGCAAGCGAAGCUCUUGAUCGAAGCCCCGGUAAACGGCGGCCGUAACGAUAACGGUCCUAAGGUAGCGAAAUUCCUUGUCGGGUAAGUUCCGACCUGCACGAAUGGCGUAAUGAUGGGGGAGCUGUCUCCACCCGAGACUCAGUGAAAUUGAAAUCGCUGUUAAGAUGCAGUGUACCCGCGGCUAGACGGAAAGACCCCGUGAACCUUUACUGUAGCUUUGCACUGAACUUUGAACCUAUCUGUGUAGGAUAGGUGGGAGGCUUUGAAGUUAGGACGCUAGUUCUAAUGGAGCCGUCCUUGAAAUACCACCCUGGUAUGUUUGAGGUUCUAACCACGGCCCAUAAUCUGGGCUUGGGACAGUGUAUGGUGGGCAGUUUGACUGGGGCGGUCUCCUCCAAAAGAGUAACGGAGGAGCACGAAGGUUGGCUAAUCCUGGUCGGACAUCAGGAGGUUAGUGUAAUGGCACAAGCCAGCUUAACUGCGAGACAGACACGUCGAGCAGGUACGAAAGUAGGUCAUAGUGAUCCGGUGGUUCUGUAUGGAAGGGCCAUCGCUCAACGGAUAAAAGGUACUCCGGGGAUAACAGGCUGAUACCGCCCAAGAGUUCACAUCGACGGCGGUGUUUGGCACCUCGAUGUCGGCUCAUCACAUCCUGGGGCUGAAGUCGGUCCCAAGGGUAUGGCUGUUCGCCAUUUAAAGUGGUACGCGAGCUGGGUUUAGAACGUCGUGAGACAGUUCGGUCCCUAUCUGCCGUGGGCGUUUGAGAUUUGAGAAGCGUUGCUCCUAGUACGAGAGGACCGGAGUGAACGAACCUCUGGUGUUCCGGUUGUCACGCCAGUGGCAUCGCCGGGUAGCUAUGUUCGGACAGGAUAACCGCUGAAAGCAUCUAAGCGGGAAACCUCCUUCAAGAUGAGAUCUCACCG